GUCCACGCCGUAAACGAUGGGUACUAGGCGCCGGGGGGAGCGACCCCUUCGGUGCCGUCGCUAACGCAAUAAGUACCCCGCCUGGGGAGUACGGCCGCAAGGCUGAAACUCAAAGGAAUUGACGGGGGCCCGCACAAGCGGUGGAGCAUGUGGUUUAAUUCGAAGCAACGCGAAGAACCUUACCUGGGCUUGACAUGCACGGGAAAGCCGGUGGAAACAUCGGCCCCUCUUCGGAGUCCGUGCACAGGUGCUGCAUGGCUGUCGU
RNAcentral lists this ribosomal RNA (265 nucleotides) under uncultured bacterium. RNAcentral describes it as "partial 16S ribosomal RNA". It matches the Rfam family "Bacterial small subunit ribosomal RNA", at positions 793 to 1055 of the family's 1533-position model. The record is from RNAcentral.